CAAUAGCGUAUAUUAAAGUUGUUGCAGUUAAAAAGCUCGUAGUUGGAUUUCGGGAUGGCCCGGCCGGUCUGCCGCAAGGUAUGUUACUGGCCGAGCUGUUCUUCUUCGCAAAGACUGUGUGUGCUCUUAACUGAGUGUGCUCAGGAUCUGUGACGUUUACUUUGAAAAAAUUAGAGUGUUCAAAGCAAGCCAGCGCUUGAAUACAUAAGCACGGAAUAAUGGAAUAGGACUUUGGUUCUAUUUUGUUGGUUUCUGGAACCUUAGUAAUGAUUAAGAGAGACAGUUGGGGGCAUUCGUAUUUCGUUGUCAGAGGUGAAAUUCUUGGAUUUACGAAAGACGAACUACUGCGAAAGCAUUUGCCAAGAAUGUUUUCAUUAA
This 378-nucleotide ribosomal RNA is filed under the name uncultured eukaryote. RNAcentral describes it as "partial 18S ribosomal RNA". It matches the Rfam family "Eukaryotic small subunit ribosomal RNA", at positions 592 to 976 of the family's 1831-position model. The record is from RNAcentral.